GACGGCAUAGUCGACGCUCGGACCGAUUCUCAAGUUCACGCUUUUCGCCUUCAGGCUGACGAAGCGGGGGAGGGGAAGGCC
Molecule: small RNA, 81 nt
Filed under: Sinorhizobium meliloti 2011
Lineage: Bacteria; Pseudomonadati; Pseudomonadota; Alphaproteobacteria; Hyphomicrobiales; Rhizobiaceae
Description: putative ncRNA
Source: RNAcentral